UCCUCCCUCUGUCGGCGUGCUUAACACAUGCAAGUCGAACGGAAAGGCCCUGCUUUUGUGGGGUGCUCGAGUGGCGAACGGGUGAGUAACACGUGAGUAACCUGCCCUUGACUUUGGGAUAACUUCAGGAAACUGAGGCUAAUACCGGAUAGGAGCUCCUGCUGCAUGGUGGGGGUUGGAAAGUUUCGGCGGUUGGGGAUGGACUCGCGGCUUAUCAGCUUGUUGGUGGGGUAGUGGCUUACCAAGGCUUUGACGGGUAGCCGGCCUGAGAGGGUGACCGGCCACAUUGGGACUGAGAUACGGCCCAGACUCCUACGGGAGGCAGCAGUGGGGAAUAUUGCACAAUGGGCGGAAGCCUGAUGCAGCAACGCCGCGUGCGGGAUGACGGCCUUCGGGUUGUAAACCGCUUUCGCCUGUGACGAAGCGUGAGUGACGGUAAUGGGUAAAGAAGCACCGGCUAACUACGUG
This 468-nucleotide ribosomal RNA is filed under the name uncultured bacterium. Its description in RNAcentral is "partial 16S ribosomal RNA". It matches the Rfam family "Bacterial small subunit ribosomal RNA", at positions 36 to 507 of the family's 1533-position model. The record is from RNAcentral.